This 497-nucleotide ribosomal RNA is filed under the name uncultured bacterium. RNAcentral describes it as "partial 16S ribosomal RNA". It matches the Rfam family "Bacterial small subunit ribosomal RNA", at positions 28 to 507 of the family's 1533-position model. The record is from RNAcentral.
GAUGAACGCUGGCGGCGUGCCUAAUACAUGCAAGUCGAGCGAACGGACGAGAAGCUUGCUUCUCUGAUGUUAGCGGCGGACGGGGGAGUAACACGUGGAUAACCUACCUAUAAGACUGGGAUAACUGCGGGAAACCGGAGCUAAUACCGGAUGAUAUUUUGAACCGCAUGGUUCAAAAGUGAAAGACGGUCUUGCUGGCACUUAUAGAUGGAUCCGCGCUGCAUUAGCUAGUUGGUAAGGUAACGGCUUACCAAGGCAACGAUGCAUAGCCGACCUGAGAGGGUGAUCGGACACACUGGAACUGAGACACGGUCCAGACUCCUACGGGAGGCAGCAGUAGGGAAUCUUCCGCAAUGGGCGAAAGCCUGACGGAGCAACGCCGCGUGAGUGAUGAAGGUCUUCGGAUCGUAAAACUCUGUUAUUAGGGAAGAACAUAUGUGUAAGUAACUGUGCACAUCUUGACGGUACCUAAUCAGAAAGCCACGGCUAACUACGUG